Molecule: ribosomal RNA, 736 nt
Filed under: uncultured bacterium
Lineage: Bacteria
Description: bacterial SSU rRNA
Rfam family: Bacterial small subunit ribosomal RNA
Source: RNAcentral
GCAGUCGAGGGGUAUAGGUUUUCGGACCUAGAGACCGGCGCACGGGUGCGUAACGCGUAUGCAAUCUACCUUUUACAGAGGGAUAGCCCAGAGAAAUUUGGAUUAAUACCUCAUAGUAUUAUUGAAUGGCAUCAUUUAAUAAUUAAAGUCACAACGGUAAAAGAUGAGCAUGCGUCCCAUUAGCUUGUAGGUAAGGUAACGGCUUACCAAGGCAACGAUGGGUAGGGGUCCUGAGAGGGAGAUCCCCCACACUGGUACUGAGACACGGACCAGACUCCUACGGGAGGCAGCAGUGAGGAAUAUUGGUCAAUGGGCGCAAGCCUGAACCAGCCAUGCCGCGUGCAGGAUGACGGUCCUAUGGAUUGUAAACUGCUUUUGUACAGGAAGAAACAGUUCUACGUGUAGAACCUUGACGGUACUGUAAGAAUAAGGAUCGGCUAACUCCGUGCCAGCAGCCGCGGUAAUACGGAGGAUCCAAGCGUUAUCCGGAAUCAUUGGGUUUAAAGGGUCCGUAGGCGGUUUUGUAAGUCAGUGGUGAAAGCCCAUCGCUCAACGGUGGAACGGCCAUUGAUACUGCAAGACUUGAAUUAUUGGGAAGUAACUAGAAUAUGUAGUGUAGCGGUGAAAUGCUUAGAGAUUACAUGGAAUACCAAUUGCGAAGGCAGGUUACUACCAAUAUAUUGACGCUGAUGGACGAAAGCGUGGGGAGCGAACAGGAUUAGAUACCCUGGUAGUC